AUUGAACGCUGGCGGCAGGCCUAACACAUGCAAGUCGAGCGGAUGAAGGGAGCUUGCUCCUGGAUUCAGCGGCGGACGGGUGAGUAAUGCCUAGGAAUCUGCCUGGUAGUGGGGGAUAACGUCCGGAAACGGGCGCCAAUACCGCAUACGUCCUGAGGGAGAAAGUGGGGGAUCUUCGGACCUCACGCUAUCAGAUGAGCCUAGGUCGGAUUAGCUAGUUGGUGGGGUAAAGGCCUACCAAGGCGACGAUCCGUAACUGGUCUGAGAGGAUGAUCAGUCACACUGGAACUGAGACACGGUCCAGACUCCUACGGGAGGCAGCAGUGGGGAAUAUUGGACAAUGGGCGAAAGCCUAAUCCAGCCAUGCCGCGUGUGUGAAGAAGGUCUUCGGAUUGUAAAGCACUUUAAGUUGGGAGGAAGGGCAGUAAGUUAAUACCUUGCUGUUUUGACGUUACCAACAGAAUAAGCACCGGCUAACUUCGUG
RNAcentral lists this ribosomal RNA (484 nucleotides) under uncultured bacterium. Its description in RNAcentral is "partial 16S ribosomal RNA". It matches the Rfam family "Bacterial small subunit ribosomal RNA", at positions 30 to 507 of the family's 1533-position model. The record is from RNAcentral.